UUUGUAUCGAUAUCCUAAUUUAUCUAUAUCAAGAGGUUUAUCAAUCUAUUUAUCACGUAAAAAAAUCAACACAAAUAGAUUUUAGGCGUAUAGAAAGUUUCAAAUCUACGAAAAUUGUAUUAUUCAAUAAAAAAUAUGGCGCGAGAACAUUUCGAAGGCGCCAAAGUACAAUCGAUAUUAUCGAUGCCUGCGAUACAUUGGAGGGACAGCUUCAGAAUGAUCAAAGAAUUGAAUGUGCGAUUCACCGUAUCGUCAGAAAAUUUUUGAGUACGUAUUUUUACCUUUUUUUUUUGCAUGUUAUAUGUAAGUAACAACAUUUUUAUUGUUAAUACAUUGUUACUUUGUUAUUCGUUCAUAACGAAAUGUAACAUAAAUGUGGACUAUUUCUUUCUUUAUUUAAAAUCAAUAUGUUAACCGCGUAAUAAAUUCACUAAAACUUAAAAUCUUAUAGAAUUGACCUUUUGAAUUCUGGAACAUUCUAAUUGUAUUAAAUUUCCUAACAGAUUCCUUAUGUGAUAUAUGUACAUCGUUCAACUGAGACUACUAUGAAUGUAUCUUCAGCAUGAGUCAGCAACGUCAGUAAUAUUAGCGGCAGAAAGGUGUUCUUGAUUAUUCUGCGAUAGGUGAGUCGUAAAUUUUCCACGCCAAGAAAUUAUGGUUUGGCAAAGUUGGCUAUGAGAUUGAAUAAUUGUAAAACGCUUUCUAAACAGAAUAUCUACGAGACAAUAUCAAUCUUUGGAGAAUUGUUCGAUAAUUUUUUUUUCUUAACAACAAAAUAAUAUAAAAACAGUUCAAUUAUCAUUUACUGGUGUCCAAAUGGUAAGUUAAUAAGUAUUUAUUGCACCAUCCAUACAUUUCAGUGUUAUAAUAUAUAGACAUAUAUCAACAGUCUAUAAAAUAUGCAGAAAGACCAUAAUACUAUUCGGAUAGUCGAAUUGAACUCCUUGCUCGGUUGCCAUUCUCUGCUCUUUUCCCGUGCUGUCUGAAUAUGAAUUGCAAAAUAAGAUAAACACAAAUAUCGAAUAGAAAUAUUUUGAUAUAAUUGAUGAAGUUUAUUGUUAAAGUAUGUAAUUUCCCAUGUUAUAUACGAUAAUGAUAGUAAUCGUGGCUAUACCACUGACUAUACGUUCUCGGUUGACCUAUUCUACUUUGACGAAGUGACGGAAAUCAUGGGAAGGAUAGGUACAUGUCCCUUGUAUACCCCUUCCACUGAUGGAUUUAGUAGUAGAGGAUGCGUUAAGCGAGACGCUGUUUACUUAUUCUCAUUCUGUCAACUAACCAGAGUAGUUUUUUAUUUUGUGUGCCUUUCAGCGAAAUUAUAUUUUUCAAAAUUUUCAUUUACAUUAUUGUUACGUGAGAUUUACUUCAAAGAGUAUUUUCAUUUAUAUCCUAAAAUAUCAAAAUAUCAACGCGUAGAUAUUGUAGCUGGACAAAAUUGAAAAUUUACUUCACUUAAAACAAUUAGUGAAUUAAUUGAGGGCAUAAUUUCACUGUUAUUGAGGAACUAAAGUUCUUACCUUCUAACUUCUUAUAUAUGCAAAUGUAAUAGUACAAUGUGGGAAGCUAUGUUGGUAUUAUCAUUUAAAAUAGGAAAAUUCUUGUCCUCUUUAGUAUACUAAAACAUCCAUGGUCUAAACAGGAUUCUAAUUGAAGAAACAUGUAAGUUUAACUAUCGUUACAGGUCUUCAAACUUCGCUCUUUUCAUCCACAAAGAUCUAUUUUCUUCAAUUUUCCCUUCCAAAAUCAAGCAAGAAACUUCUACAUAGACUCGACCACUCUACUGGUCAAUCUCCUUUCCACUUAUAACCUUUUACCAAACAUCAUUUUUCACAUUUUCAGAAAUCAAGUCCGUGAACUCUCAACGACACAUGUAAUCCAACAAAUGCAUCGUUUUUUCAUCAAGAUCCAAUUCACUCUUCCGUUGUAUCUUCAUCUUCGCCUACACACUUUCGACCAGGUAGACUCGUCCUUGGCGGAAGGGUGGUAUCGGCCAUGCGGAAACGAGCCACGUGUCGUUAAGCAGCGCGUGCUCGUGAUACAUGGUUCCGCGAAACUCGGUCGCCCGGAGACCGAGGCUCGAAGGGCGUAGGUUGGCCGGAUUUCGCUUGGAGGGUCCGAUUGUGCUCGGUGUCUCGUAAUUAGUGGGGUGCGUAGCAACGCGUGCUUCACCGUCAUUACGUCACAAACUUCGAUACAGACAUGGAUCACGAUUCCUUUGCGAGACACGUUGUGUGCUCGAGCUCGGUAUAAUGACGUCACUUCGUUCAUUUUGCCCGGAUCUUCUCUUCCAUUCUGUUGAUUCGGUCCGACGUCGAGCUCUCACACCUUCGAACUCGAUUCGUUCUGCCAGACCUUAUUACGUGCCGAGUCCUCAUGGACUUUGCCUCGCAACUUGGAACACCGAAGUAUGCAUGUUUCCUUGAGAUUGAAGCCGGGGAUGAACCCUCGUUUUUGUCAGGAAUUUCUCGUGGAUCUCCUCUGCUCGCCUCUCGGAUUGCAUUCCCUUCGAGGUGGAAUUUGAAUGAAACGAAUAUCGCUGUUUACGGUUGUUUCGGUUUCCAGGCGAUUUUGAUGUUUCCAAAGAAAUAUACAAGGACUUGGUGAUACGCAGUUCAUCGCUGAUAGUUUCUAAUUUUGGAGAAUUUGAUACGAAUUAUUAACAGGAAUGAAAUGGAAUUUAUUUGGGGAUUGCGUCAAAUGCUAGAUAUUAAACUUAAAGCGAAGGACAAUUAAGAUGAAAUUACAAGAACUUACUCUAAUCAAAUGUAUUUGAUUCUAUCUCUCACAGGAGAUUUUAUAUAAGUAGUAUAUGUAAUAUAUUAUUUGAAUGCGUUUUCUAGGAAGAUUAUUUUUUAAUUUAGCGCCAUUGAAUAUUUAUUAAAUCAAACAACGAUUAUUGUACGAACAUAAGAGGUUUCAUACUGUUUCAUAAAUUUCCUGCCAGUAAUAGUUGUUUCAGAUAUGUACUGUUUCUUUGAAUACAGAGUAUGUACAUCAUAUCUCGUUAGAGAUUAUUUUAUGUUUUAAAAUCGGAGACUGCUUUUAUUCGGCAAUUAAAUGCUUUAAUUUUCUUAUCUUAUCAUACGGAAUCCUAUGAUUACAUUUUUUAAAUCUCGCAGAAACAUAUGAUUCCUGAAUUGUCCGCUUAUCUUAAUGAGUAUUAUUAUCAUCUAUCUACAUACAACAAUUUUGUAAAAUUUGGGGAAAUAGAAGUAUUAUGAUAACGUAUCUCUUUUAUAAUCUUUUCUAUGUAUGUAAAUAUAAUUAUAAAAACAUUUUAAUGCAUUUCUGCUACCUUGAUAAAACAGUACGUAAAUUAGUUUAUUUACUUUUCUCAAUGAUGCGAUUAUGUAACUGCUAUAGAUUACUUUACUGCUCGGUCUUUCAUGAAUUAAACAACCGAAUAUUACAAAAAGCAAACACGUUCCCGCGGCAAAACGAAGCUAUACAUACGCUUAAGCCCGGAUACACGCAACCACUUUCGGAUAAUUCAAUAAUCCAGCGUAUUGGCAGGAUAACAGGUCCGCGCGUGUUAUCGUAUCGGCGCUGCAACUUGAUUACGUCUCAUAAUAAAUUGAAACCCUCAUUUCUAGGAAAGAACGAGCGACGGUAUCUGUAAUUUUUGCCCACAAGUAAGAAAUCAAUACUCUGAUACGGUUAUAAAUCCACAAGAUGGCGACAGAACGCGCGUAUCGUGUUUGAUCUUUCGCGCUCGAAAGAGGACAGGGUGGCCGAACAGGCAAAUCGUUUCGAAGAACAAAUAAAAACGCGAGAUCGUCGCGCACGCCGAUAGAUAGCUUAUCUUCGAUACCGUAAAAGAUCCAGGAAUGUAACGCGGCACGGAUUCAAUUUUACCACAAACGGUCGCGAUUCCGUGGAAUUACCGUCCCGAAUUCGAAAGAGCGGAACUCGACCGCGUAAGGAAAAAAAAGUUCGUCGAAUUGAAUUUCGAACUGGAAAUUAACCCUGUAAAACGACGAAGAAAAUAAAGAAAAAAUUCUUGUUCUCACCUUUUGUUCCUGUAAUUUAAGAUUGGCUAAUUUAGGAUAGGUCAGUGGGAAAAUGAAACGUACUCGCGGAUCUUAAUAAUACACAAAUUUUAUUUUAUUCAUUUUUUUUUCUUCCCGCAGAAUCGAGGAAAUCAUUUGUUGAGAGAACAAAACCACUGCAAUACGAAUAGCAGUUACAAGUAAAUAUGUACAAUAAUAUAAGUGGUUGCCUUUCUUUCUUUAUUUUUUUUUUUUUGUGUUUUUGCUUUAUCAUCGGUUUCCUGUUUUCUCUGUUUUGUGGUUUAUUAUUCCUACUUUCGCACUGUUAAUGAUAAUUGAUAAUGAUAAUCAAUUAAUUAAUUAAGAAUAAUAAUGAUAAUAACUAUAAGAAUCGUACUGAAUCAUCAUACAUCCACCCGGUAAAUAGAGGUUCAAUCGUAGGCAUACCAAUCGACCAUUAUCGAAUCAUGACAAUAUUGACAAAUUGACAGAAUGUGCCUUUUUUUUAAGCUAGCUUCGCAUUCCACCCGUUCACUCUCCCUCUCUCUCUCUUACUCUCUCUCUCUCUCUCUCUCUCUCUCUCUCUCUCUCUGUCACUCUCUCUCUGUCACUCUUUCUCUCUCUCCCUAAUUCACCCCUAUUUCUCCUCAGUACAACUUCUCCAUUUAUUAUCUCUCUUAUAUCACCCGCUUUUCGUUACUGUUCUUCUAAUUCCCUUUCCUGCUUCGUUAUACGUUAAUUUCGUUCAGCUCGCGUUUCUGUUCGCGCGUAAUUUUUCGACAUACACCCCGCAACACGCAGCAAAAUCUUACACUCUCUUUCCUACUCGCAUUCUCUCUCACUCUACGUAAAUGUUUCUCCUGAUAUUUCAUAGUGUAUCUUUCGUAUGCUUUCUAACUCCCCGCCCAAUCUCUUUCUCAACCGCUACUUCGUCGUUUCUUCGUCGCUUCUAUCACCCUCUGUUUAUCCUCAUCGUUCGCGCGACGCAAUCAAAAAUUUCGACGUUCGCUACGAUUCCGCCCCUCCACGCCCCUUCUUCGUCGGCUCUCUCAUUUUUUUCUUUCGUCAGUUUCCUAAGAUUAAGUCCACUAAGCAUCCUCUACCAUUGAUUAAAUGCUCGUCGCGACGAGAGAGGGCCGAACGUGGCUUUUCCCGAGGACCGUGUUCUUCCACCAUCGUUUACUCGCUUUUCGUUUCCCUGUAAACGUUCCACUGUUUCCCUGCUCUCUUUCCUCAACCCUUUUGUCCGUUCCUCUUGCACACGCACGCACGCGCCACAUCUCCCUCUCAUUCUUUCGUUCGAUCCGCACCGCACUUUUCCACGAAAAUUCUCGUCGAUCUCUCGCGUGGGCUAUAUCCUCUUCCCCGCUCAACCUUCCGCGCACCUGUCCUUUGCCCGUGUUUCUCUCCCCCCCCCUGUACCCAUCCCUGUACACCCCUGUUUCUCCCAGCGCUCAAGCCGUUUCGUCGGUUUAAAUCCCCUUCGUGUGCUCACCCUCUCGAGGAUCGUCCUUGCCUGGUUUACGCGGCUCUCGUCGCCUCCUUUCCUCCCUGUGCCCGUCGCACCCCCCCCGUUUUCCUUUGCUCCCCUUGCCUGGCCAGAGAGACGUUUUUUGUUCGUGGCAGUUUUACGUGGCUCAACAACGACCGAGAAAAGGACCGCACUUUUCGUCUGAAGGAGUAUCGCCACGCGGCAAUUGCGCGAUUGCAACGUCGGCACCGUGAAACCUACGCUUUUACCAUCCACUCUCUUUCCCUCGUUUCCGGUUACCCUGUGUGCUCGUAUCAUCGUUUCCUCGUCAGCGUCGAAGUUUCUCGCGACGAGCUUCGGCUCGAAUUCAAAGUACCUGCAUUGUCGGUUCGUUCGAGUCACCAAGCGAGCAGACCAAGUGUACCGGCACGUUAGAACCGUUUCUUGCCUCGUUAGAGUAUUCAGAAACGACGCUGUCGAUACGGCUGGUUACUCUUUGGUGACAAAGGUCGCUCUUAGGUUACCUUGUUCGCGUGUAUCGAGAGAGAUCUUUGGGAUCUCCGGUUGUCAAGAACUAUGUUCGAGUUUGGGAUAUAUGUAUAUAUUAAGAUCUUGGAAAUUUCGAGCUGAAAGGAACCGGUGAUCAUUCUAAACGAAGGGGUUCGAUCGUUCGACGUAAGGAAAAAUCGACGUUACGCGAGUGCAUGGACGAUCCUCGAGUUACAAAUCAGGUCGAUGUCCGUGGUCGAGCGCAACAGGAGACGACACUCACGCUCUCUCCUUCACUCCGUUAUUCUUCGUGUAUUUUUUUCCCCUUUAUUCGAAAUGUCUUUUGUUGUUUUUUGUCUGUUUCAUCGUAACAUUUUUUACUUUUUUGGUAUCUUAUUUUCUCUGAAAAAGAAAUGCCCAUCUCGCACAUAACGAACACGUUAACGGCGACGUGUGUUGGGUCAUUAAAAAGGUUCUGGUCUCGAUCCCCUUUUUUCUUUUUUUGUUCUUUUUCGUUUACCCCUCCUCUGUCAUCGUUACUCUUCCUUCCGCCGACGAUCUCCGUCGUAUUUUCGAUUUUCUCGUUUUUUAUUUUUUUGUCGUUAAAUAGUAAUCAUCUAAACAAUGAAAGCGGCAAAACGUCUCGAGGAAAAAGGUGUCCCUGAGCGCGACGGAGGGAGACGACGACGACACAAUGCUUCUUUGGGAGGGA
Bombus pyrosoma is the source of this 6661-nucleotide long non-coding RNA. RefSeq lists it as uncharacterized. The record is from RefSeq and is a predicted model, not a curated record. The transcript has 2 exons. NCBI's taxonomy places the organism in Eukaryota, Metazoa, Arthropoda, Insecta, Hymenoptera, Apidae.